Molecule: long non-coding RNA, 378 nt
Filed under: Mytilus galloprovincialis (Mediterranean mussel)
Lineage: Eukaryota; Metazoa; Mollusca; Bivalvia; Mytilida; Mytilidae
Source: RNAcentral
AAGGUCUUAAAACGCACGUGUAAAAGCCAAGUGCUUUUAAAAUGAAGGACGGGGAGGGGGCGUCAUGCAAAAAAAUAAGUUUUGUAUAAGUGUAUUUAUUGAUUUGAACCCCAAUAUAUGCUCGACUUUGAUUGUAGUAGGUGUUGACUUGUGGAAAAUAUUUCAUAUUUUUCUAAUUUAACACUCUAAUGAAAAGUAUCAAUGUGGAGAAAAAGUUUAGAUGGUAAGAUGCAUAUCCAAUGUAAGUAAAGUGAUUUGUUCUCCCGAAAUAUUAUUCCAAACCAUUGUGUACAAUAGCAAUUUGACUGUUAUGCAUGUUAACAUUUGUUAACUAGUAAACAUAUGAUUUAGUAUUUGCAAACUGUUCUUGCUGUAAAC